Long non-coding RNA from Heterocephalus glaber (naked mole-rat), 1043 nucleotides. RefSeq lists it as uncharacterized. The record is from RefSeq and is a predicted model, not a curated record. Lineage: Eukaryota; Metazoa; Chordata; Mammalia; Rodentia; Bathyergidae.
GAGGCGGCCCUGGCGAUUGCUGUGAGAUCUCGGUGCCGCCGUUCCUGACUCGAGCCUCUGAGGCCAGUGAUAAGGAGCAAUUAGGGUUCAUUUUAACGUUGGGAAAAUUGUGCUGACUGCUGAAACGCUCUUACCUAUGUUGUGUGGAUUGAAUCUGACGAAAUGGAUAGUAUUCCCGUUUUACAACAAUAAUACUUUGAAACAAAAUAUAUAAGUGGAAUAAAGACAUCUCUGUUGCCUUGUCAAAUCCGAAAACUACAAAAAUCAGUGAAGAUUACAGAAACAAAUACCAACUUAACCAAACCAGUACCUAUGAACGUGACAUUAUUUGGAAAGAGUCUGCAGAUGAUCAAGUCACUGUUAUUGAGACCUCUUAUCCAGUAUGACCGUGUCCUCAUAAAAACAGAGAUCUGAAAACACACACUGAGGAGAACACCACGGGAAGAUAAAGGAAGAAACUGAAGUGAUGGAUCUACAUCUACAAGCCAAGAAAUGUCAAAGGUUGCCAGCAAACCAGCAGAGGCAGAGAGAGUCCUGCAACACAUUCUCCCGCACAGCCCUCCAAAGGAACUAGCUCUGCCGACACUCUGAUCGGGGACUUCCAGGCUUCCAAAUUACAAGACAAUAAAUUUAUAAUGUUUUAAGCCAGCAGUUUAUAGUGCUUUGUUAUGCAGCCCUAUCAAACUAACACAGUAUUUCACAAUACAAUAUUAAUUUUUUAAAAACCUAACAAAUGUACUUAUUUUUUAUACUGAAGAGAGAUACUCAGCAUGUGUAAAUAACAGAUAUAAAACUCACAAAAAAUUAUUUUUGGGAAAUAUCAUUUAUAUUUAACAUAGUAACUUUUUGAAAAUUGAUUUUUUACCAGUUAACUUUGGCAGGUUUUAGUAGAACAAGGGAUUCUGUAUACAUUUGCUCAGUCUUUCAGGUUUCCUUGUGUUACAGCCAUUCAUUAAGCUGAUUGUGUUCUAUACUCACAACUUUAGGAUGAGAACAAAACACAGUAACAUUUAAACAGCAACUUAAAACAUAAAAAUACUAGA